Molecule: ribosomal RNA, 384 nt
Filed under: uncultured bacterium
Lineage: Bacteria
Description: bacterial SSU rRNA
Rfam family: Bacterial small subunit ribosomal RNA
Source: RNAcentral
AUUGAACGCUGGCGGAAUGCUUUACACAUGCAAGUCGAACGGCAGCACGGGGCAACCUGGUGGCGAGUGGCGAACGGGUGAGUAAUACAUCGGAACGUGCCCAAUCGUGGGGGAUAACGUAGCGAAAGAUACGCUAAUACCGCAUACGAUCUACGGAUGAAAGCGGGGGAUCGCAAGACCUCGCGCGAAUGGAGCGGCCGAUGUCAGAUUAGGUAGUUGGUGGGGUAAAGGCUCACCAAGCCAACGAUCUGUAGCUGGUCUGAGAGGACGACCAGCCACACUGGAACUGAGACACGGUCCAGACUCCUACGGGAGGCAGCAGUGGGGAAUUUUGGACAAUGGGCGCAAGCCUGAUCCAGCCAUUCCGCGUGCAGGAUGAAGGCC